RNAcentral lists this long non-coding RNA (539 nucleotides) under Homo sapiens (human). RNAcentral's name for it is "non-protein coding lnc-MADD-2:1". Lineage: Eukaryota; Metazoa; Chordata; Mammalia; Primates; Hominidae. The record is from RNAcentral.
CUUUUGCAAGAGCUGCUAAGAGCGCUGGGUCCUGCUUGUGCUCAGCUCCAGCUCACUGGCUGGCCACCGAGACUUCUGGACAGGAAACUGCACCAUCCUCUUCUCCCAGCAAGGGGGCUCCAGAGACUGCCCACCCAGGAAGUCUGGUGGCCUGGGGAUUUGGUGGGUCUGCUCCUUAGCAGUGGCCUGGGGCUCUGUGUGUGUAUCUGGGGUGGGGUCGGGGAAUGUCCUAAGGAUCUGAGAAGGGGGUUUCUGGGGAGAAGUGAGGGGUGAUGGUGAUGGAAGCUUGGGACAGGAGCAGGACUCUGGGUCCCAGAAUAACUCAUGAGGGGCUCAGGGGAGGAGGUCCUCUAUGUGAAUUGGGGAGAUUCUUGGAGACAGGUUUGUGCUGGGACCCUGGAAAGUGGCACGAGCGAGGUUCUCUAAUAAGCAGCGUGUUUCACUGGGUGGAGUGAGCUGUCCUCAGUGUUGGAGUGAGGGGGAAGGGGCCCAAGAGAAGCAGGGCAGAUGCACCCAAACAUUCCCUGCUGGCCUGGAGG